GAUGAACGCUGGCGGCGUGCCUAAUACAUGCAAGUCGAGCGAACAGACGAGGAGCUUGCUCCUUUGACGUUAGCGGCGGACGGGUGAGUAACACGUAGGUAACCUACCUAUAAGACGGGGAUAACUUCGGGAAACCGGAGCUAAUACCGGAUAAUAUUUUGAACCGCAUGGUUCGAUAGUGAAAGAUGGCUUUGCUAUCACUUAUAGAUGGACCUGCGCGGUAUUAGCUAGUUGGUAAGGUAACGGCUUACCAAGGCAACGAUACGUAGCCGACCUGAGAGGGUGAUCGGCGACACUGGAACUGAGACACGGUCCAGACUCCUACGGGAGGCAGCAGUAGGGAAUCUUCCGCAAUGGGCGAAAGCCUGACGGAGCAACGCCGCGUGAGUGAUGAAGGUCUUCGGAUCGUAAAACUCUGUUAUUAGGGAAGAACAAACGUGUAAGUAACUGUGCACGUCUUGACGGUACCUAAUCAGAAAGCCACGGCUAACUACGUG
RNAcentral lists this ribosomal RNA (497 nucleotides) under uncultured bacterium. RNAcentral describes it as "partial 16S ribosomal RNA". It matches the Rfam family "Bacterial small subunit ribosomal RNA", at positions 28 to 507 of the family's 1533-position model. The record is from RNAcentral.